AAUCAACGCUGGCGGCGUGCCUCAGACAUGCAAGUCGAACGCGAAAGUCCCCCUUCGGGGGACAAGUAGAGUGGCGCACGGGUGAGUAACACGUAGGUAAUCUAACCUUUGGAUGGGGAAUAACAACCGGAAACGGUUGCUAAUACCGCAUAAUGCAGCGGCACCUAAUGGUGACAGUUGUUAAAGCGGGGGAUCGAAAGACCUCGCGUCUAAAGAGGAGCCUGCGGCGGAUUAGCUAGUUGGAAGGUAAUGGCUUACCAAGGCUACGAUCCGUAACCGGCCUGAGAGGGCGGUCGGUCACACUGACACUGACAUACGGGUCAGACUCCUACGGGAGGCAGCAGUCGGGAAUUUUGGGCAAUGGGCGAAAGCCUGACCCAGCAACGCCGCGUGAAGGAUGAAAUCCCU
This 408-nucleotide ribosomal RNA is filed under the name uncultured bacterium. Its description in RNAcentral is "bacterial SSU rRNA". It matches the Rfam family "Bacterial small subunit ribosomal RNA", at positions 32 to 418 of the family's 1533-position model. The record is from RNAcentral.